Molecule: long non-coding RNA, 549 nt
Organism: Pantherophis guttatus
Lineage: Eukaryota; Metazoa; Chordata; Lepidosauria; Squamata; Colubridae
Source: RefSeq, a predicted model, not a curated record
UGUAGGGACAAGAGAUGAUUAGACAUCUAUGGAUUUUACUACAGCAGGGACUGGGCAUCCCAGAAGAGCUGUAGGAUACCUUCAAAGCAGACUGCAACAUGCAGUCCUCAAAAGAUCUUGGCAAAAGUGAUCUAACACAAGAGACCACAGGAAUGAAGGAGUUAAGACAUCUUCAAUUUAGUGGAAACGAUGACCACAGCUGUGACAUCAUGAGCCAUGGUGGCCCAGUGGUUAGAAUGCAGCACUUCAAGCUACUUCUGCUGACUUCUGGCUGACUGCAGUUCGCAGUUCAAUCCUCACCAGCUCUAGGUUGACAUGGCCUUCUAUCCUUCCAAGACUGUUUCAGAGAUCCUGCAAAAUAUGAAAAGUUCAACUUCGGAUACAGACCACAAGAACCAGAAAUGUCAUGAAGUAUCAAGAAAGCAGUCAGAUAUCAGAACACGAAAAGGCUAUUAUUGAAGCUGACUUCAAAUGAUAUGUCUAAUUCUAAGGUAAUGAUGUUAUUAUAUGCAUUAAGAAUGGAAUCUUGUUCUCAAGUUAUUUUGAAAG